UACGUAGGGUGCGAGCGUUAAUCGGAAUUACUGGGCGUAAAGUGUGCGCAGGUGGCUCUGCAAGUCGAGUGUGAAAUCCCCGGGCUUAACUUGGGAACGGCGCUCGAAACUACGGAGCUAGAGUGUGGCAGAGGGAGGUGGAAUUCCACGUGUAGCGGUGAAAUGCGUAGAGAUGUGGAGGAACACCAAUGGCGAAGGCAGCCUCCUGGGCCAACACUGACACUCAUGCACGAAAGCGUGGGGAGCAAACAGG
RNAcentral lists this ribosomal RNA (253 nucleotides) under uncultured bacterium. RNAcentral's name for it is "partial 16S ribosomal RNA". It matches the Rfam family "Bacterial small subunit ribosomal RNA", at positions 524 to 776 of the family's 1533-position model. The record is from RNAcentral.